CCACGUCAAUCGAAUCCUCAAACGAAGGAUCUAUCGGCAUUUUCCCAGUCACCAAUUCCAGAAGCACAACGCCUAGACUGUAUAUAUCACUCUUUUCGUCAAUCUUCAGUGUGUAUCCGUACUCCGGCGCUAUAUACCCGUAAGAUCCAGCCACCAUAGAAACGGUCUCGUUCUUAUGAAGCAUCAUCUUCGCCAAUCCGAAAUCUGCUAUCCUCGCUUCAAGGUUUGAAUCGAGGAGGAUGUUAUUAGACUUGAUGUCUCUGUGAAUGAUCGGAGGAUAGCAAUCGUUGUUUUUUGCGAGCUCUAGAUGCUGAAGCAUUGGUAAGUCACCUGAACCAGCUGGUAUAGAUCCGGAAAUGUGAUUUUUCUGGAUUCGAACACGAACUAAAGUCGGACAUGAGAAGAUUUCCUCCGGAAUCUGACCUGAGAAUGAGUUGUUGAAGAGAAUGAGCUUUGUGAGGUUUCUGGAAUAGCACAAUCCUGAUGGUAUAUCUCCUGAAAGCUUGUUUGAUGAGACGUCUAACCACUUCAAUGGGGAAUUUUUGCCGAGAUGCACCGGUAAUGAACCCAUGAGAGAGUUCUGCCACAGCUCAAGAACCUCAAGGUUUGGUAAUUCAGCAAUUUUUGACGGAAUGAUUCCCGUGAGUUGAUUCCUCAUCAAAUUUAGAAGCUGCAGAUUCUUCAACUCACCUACUUCCAUAGGUAUUUCUCCUGUGAUCUGGUUAUCAGACAGAUCAAGAAACACAAGAGAAGUCAUACCACCAAGUUCUCGAGGAAGUUUCCCUGUGAGACGGUUCUGGUAGAGAUAAACUGUUGUAAGUUGUUUCAGCUGCCCCAAAGAAGAUGGAAUCUGGCCUGUAAGGUUUCCAACAGCCAAAUCAAGGUACUGAAGGCGCGUCAAUUUCCCAAACUCUUCUGGAAUCUCACCCAUGAAGCCAUUGUAACCAAGAAUAAUGGUCUCCAAGGAAGAGAGCUCACCAAUCACCUUCGGUACCUUUCCACCAAAGUUGUUACCCGAAAGACCGAGAAACUUCAGAUUCUUGAGAUUCUUGAAAGAAGAAGGCACUGAGCCCUCGAAGUAACCUCCUCGAAAGUCCAAAACCUCAAGUGUAGUUGCGUUGCCAAGAUCUUCAGGUAGAAACCCCGAAAAAUUGUUGCUUGAGGCAUUGACGUGUGUAAGACCAGUUGCCAUUCCUAGACCAUAAGGGAAGGUUCCAAAGAAGCUGUUCACACUCACAUCAAUGACCUUCAAAGACGUGAGAUUAGAAAGAGAUUUAGGAAGAGAAGACUCAAAUGCGUUAUUGCUGAGAUCAAGGGCUUGCAGAGAAGGGAAGCUCUGAAUCUGAUCUGACACGUUUCCGCUGAGAUUCAUGUUGGAGAGAAGAAGCUUAGCCACAUAGCCAUUUGCAUCACAGUGAACUCCUGUCCAAUGACAAUGAACCAACUCAGAAAAUGUUGUGGCAUUCUCAGGUCUCUUCCAAUCUUGGAGAUUAUUUGAAGGAUCAAAAAGGUCUGACUUGAAGGCCAACAAGAUCUCUUGUUCGGAGUUUUGAAAUGUUUCAGAAGAAACAAAAGGGAAAAGAGCGAAACCAAUGUAAUAGAAGAGGAAGAAAA
Molecule: long non-coding RNA, 1614 nt
Filed under: Arabidopsis thaliana (thale cress)
Lineage: Eukaryota; Viridiplantae; Streptophyta; Magnoliopsida; Brassicales; Brassicaceae
Description: ncRNA (AT1G08592)
Source: RNAcentral